GCUUAAAAUCCAAAGGACUUGACGGUGCCCCAUCCCUCUAGAGGAGCCUGUUCUAUAAUCGAUGAUCCCCGCUAUACCUCACCACUUCUUGCCUCCAUUCAGUCUGUAUACCUCCGUCGUAAGCUAGCCGUAUGAGUGUCACAUAGUAGGCCCAAGGACAAUUUUAGUCAGCACGUCAGGUCAAGGUGCAGCUUAUGUAGUGGAAAGUAAUGGGCUACAAUUUCUAAUUUAGAACAAACGAACAACCGUCUGAAAUUACGGUCAUGAAGGUGGAUUUAGUAGUAAAAGGGGAAAAUAGCGCCCCCUUUAAUAACGGCCAUGGGACGCGUACAAACCGCCCGUCACCCUCCUCGACAGCAUAUUACUAGUUUCUAACACAUUUUGGCACUUUAGAGGAGGCAAGUCGUAACACGGUAAGUGUACUGGAAAGUGCGCUUGGAUCAGCAAAAUGUAGCUUAGAAAAGCAUUCCGCUUACACCGGGAAAACAUCUGUUAAACUCGGAUCAUUUUGAGCUGUUAAUCUA
This 524-nucleotide ribosomal RNA is filed under the name Boophis arcanus. RNAcentral describes it as "partial 12S ribosomal RNA". The stretch from base 1 to 451 matches the Rfam family "Bacterial small subunit ribosomal RNA", at positions 892 to 1533 of the family's 1533-position model. Lineage: Eukaryota; Metazoa; Chordata; Amphibia; Anura; Mantellidae. The record is from RNAcentral.